GAUGAACGCUAGCGGCAGGCUUAACACAUGCAAGUCGAGGGGUAUAGUUCUUCGGAGCUAGAGACCGGCGCACGGGUGCGUAACGCGUAUGCAAUCUACCUUUCACAGAGGGAUAGCCCAGAGAAAUUUGGAUUAAUACCUCAUAGUAUAAUGAGUUGGCAUCAACCCAUUAUUAAAGUCACAACGGUGAAAGAUGAGCAUGCGUCCCAUUAGCUAGUUGGUAGGGUAACGGCUUACCAAGGCUACGAUGGGUAGGGGUCCUGAGAGGGAGAUCCCCCACACUGGUACUGAGACACGGACCAGACUCCUACGGGAGGCAGCAGUGAGGAAUAUUGGUCAAUGGACGCAAGUCCGAACCAGCCAUGCCGCGUGCAGGAUGACGGUCCUAUGGAUUGUAAACUGCUUUUGUACGAGAAGAAACACUCCUUCGUGAAGGAGCUUGACGGUAUCGUAAGAAUAAGGAUCGGCUAACUCCGUGCCAGCAGCCGCGGUAA
RNAcentral lists this ribosomal RNA (494 nucleotides) under uncultured bacterium. Its description in RNAcentral is "partial 16S ribosomal RNA". It matches the Rfam family "Bacterial small subunit ribosomal RNA", at positions 28 to 523 of the family's 1533-position model. The record is from RNAcentral.